AUGCAAACGAAAGAACUUGGUACAUGUCCCGUGAGGCAGAUUGGAGGAUGCUCUUUCUUUUACAUGAGAAUCAGCAUUGUCUACAUUGUAAUUGUGGUCAGCAGCAAUGCUAACGUAGCAUGCACUUUAGGAGUUAACUAAAAGAACUAUUUGAACUAUUUAUUGUAUCUUAUCAAAUGAGUAACAGGAAAUUAAGGGCUUACUAGCAACUUAUUACUUAUCAAAACUAGAUCUGUCAUAAAUGGACACCACAAUUUCACUGAUAAAAAACAACUAUACCGCGUAUGACUUGCCCCUUUAAUUCUUAUUAAGAAAUUGUUCCUAUAUACACUACCCCAAAUUACACUUUUUCCGGCAUUUAAUAAAUGCUGGUAUAGGUCAAAAAAACGCCGGUAAAACUAUUCCCGGCAUUUGUUGGCGAAAUUAGAUAAUGCCAUCUACAAAAGUGUCGGUAAUACAAAAACGGCAUUUGUAUAAAUGCCGGAAAUAAAACCGGCGUUUUUCUUACUUUUCCCGGCAUUUAACAAAUGCCAGUAAUAAAAUAGAUGAAUAUACAACUAUUAGCGGCAGUUUGUAGAACUGCCGGAAAAGAAUCUAUACCCGGCAUUAGUCAAAUGCCACAAAUGUUAUAACCCUUUACCGGCAUUUGUAAAAAGCCGUUUAUAUAUUUUUUUGUUUAAUUCUUUCGCCGGCAUUUUCAACAAAUCGGUAAAAAUUUAAAAUUUAAUCAUGAUCCGUCCAUUUUCAGAUAAACCUGAGCCCAUUUUUGUCACAAUCCACUAUUUUCCGUACAUCAAACUGUAUAGUUGACAAAAACAAUUUGAAGUUCAAUUGUACCAAAAUGCAAGUUACAUAUAAUAAAACUAAAUCUUCUAGACACAUGUAUCGUGUCUACCGAGUCAUUACAUAACAUAAUCAUAAAACAUGCAAGAGUGCAAGGCAUCGAAUGCAAUGUGGAGAUCAAAAACCAAAACGACAAAAUACAGGUUCUAAUUCCUUAUCUCCAAAAACAAUAGAUCAAACUAAUCGCAACAAAUAAAAUGACUUUUGGUUGCAAAUCUUCCAUACAAAAAGACCCAAAACGGUUGGCAUAAUAAAUAAGAUUUCCCAUCAUUCCUAUUGUGCAUGCUCGCCUAUGAAUCUAACCUGAGUUGUUGUCGGCUUCUUUACAAUUCUAAGAAAACACAAAGCUGGCAUUAUCACCGCCUGAAUAAUACCAAAAUGCACCUUUGAUCAGCGUAACACAUACUAAAGAAUUUAUGUACCUAGAGAAAUUAACCAAGAAAAAGUCGCAACAAACCAAAGACAACCAACAUCAGGAGAAGUUGGUGAUGAUGUACAAUCUUUACGAAGGUUUAAAUGCAUCACUGUCGUUUUUAUCUUAGCUUUCACCUUUUGUGAUUACAACUUGGUUAUCGUUAAGAAUAUUAAGAUUCUUGAUUCAACAAAAACGAUGUUAUCCAAGGUUUUCAUAAAGCAUCUCUUGCCACUGCAUCCCAAGGUUUUCAAAAUUUUCUAGACAUAAUGUGAAAUUUCUCUUUGUUUCAAGACUGCCUUAGCCUUAACAACGUACGAACAUAGUAGUCUGUAGAAAAUGGACGCAAAUUUCCUGACCCCAACUAAUUGAGUCUAGGCUUCUUAAGUUCAGUUGAAUUGAGUUUUAUCAGAACGAUAAGACUUGGUACUUUUGAACUUCAAUUUUCAUAUAAAAUUACUUCUUUGACUUUCUGGUUGAAUUUGUGUGAGGGUAAAUAACCUCAAUCAAAUCAGCUUAAAUUAGUAGUCAAUCUAGGCAAUUCCUCGAACCUAGAUCAUGCCAUAACAUUGCUUGAAGAGACCUACUCCGCGGAUUCAGGGAGGCAACCAGAAUCAAAAAAUUCACAAAACCAAAAAGAGUAAAACACGAAUGAUCUAGUUUCUUUUUUCUUUUUUUGCCAGCAUAAGAUAUUCCACAUGUUACUGGACAACUUCAGGGAUAAUCCACUCUAGAUUGUUCCUAUUAAGGAUCACUAAGACAACGUAUCAAUUACGCAAUGUAUUCACUCGUAUAAGUAAAAACACGCAGUUCUAAAUAGAAUCAGAGGUUUAUGCAUACCACAAGUACACUGAGAAGAGAACCAAUUAAAGCCAUCACAAGACCUGCAAUGAAAAGAAUGAAGUUAAAUUCAAGAAGUUGGUCAUGUUACGCAAUAAAAGAAGAGUACGUUCCAAUUUGUUGAACAAUUACUCUUCCAUACCUUUAUAAACAUCAUGCAACUAAACUAGUCCAUCAAGGUCACAAAUUGUUACAACAGUGAUUUGACUCAACUCCUUAUAUCAACUACAACACUAAGAAGCAAGGCACUUCAUCAGUUCAUCUAUGUGGCUAAUUGAGUGUAGCUCUGUGGACUGUGGCUAUUGUAGACACCGAUUUGUAUCAUAGCACUUAACUUACUGUUUUCAUUUUUAACACGAUCCCCACUAGAGACUGGAGAGCAUCACUUCUUGCCUUUGGGAGCUCACUAUCCCCACAACCAAUGAACCACAAUGUCUUACAUUGCUAAACUUAAAUAUUAUCCAAAUGAACUAUGCUUCCAGAGAUUGGAAGACAAUUUUCUUUUUCCGGAAAAACGAAAAAUGAUGACAUGUCUGUUGCAGCAGAGUACACUCACAGGGACAUCAACGUGCCCAAAAAUGACACUUCAAUUUGCUGAUUUAGUUUAGAGAUCUCCACACACUCAAUCGUAUCGGACGUCGUUCUUCACAAAGUACCCAAGACUAAAGCUUCCAUUCCCACAUAGCUCAAUAUACAAACAAGACACAUUAGCACUACAGUCCGAUACUAGUGUAACUGGACCUCCAUUAAUCUCAAGAACCCAAUUGUAUUAUGAGGGAGUCCUUUGGAUCGUACAGUGCUAAGUUCCAGCUGUAACAAAACAAUAGUUUCUAAAAGUUUGUCAAAAACAAUUUGCCAAGGAAGUGGGCUCAAAGUUCCUAUGACGGAUUUAAUCUAUGGUUCCAUCAGAUGGUUGAUGCUUUGUGUGGGGGCACUUUUAUGAUGAAAACCAAGGAUGAGGGGUGGGAUCUCUUUGAGACUUUGAGUGGAAAUUCCCAACACUAUGCCUCAACGUAGAGUGGUGGGAACACACCUAUCCUGUCCAAAUCAGGUGGCCUUUAUGAUGUUGGCGAUUCGAGCUAUCUCUCUGCUAAGGUGACUUGUCUCGUAAGCUUGAUAGUGUCUUAUCUUUAGGGCAAGUUCCUUCGUAUUCUCAACCUCCUGUUGUCAAGGAGGUGUGCCAGUUGUGUUCUAAUCCAAGCAAUUACGUGAGUGAGUACCUCACGUAAUUUGAAGUGACUUUUGUAACCAGCACAAAUAGCAUAGCGCAAAUUCCUAAGUAACCAGCACAAAUUGCAAUUACAGUUACAAUUGCGCAAACACUUGUAGCUAUGUUAAAUGCAUGCACUUCCAAAAAAACACUUCCAAGAGGUAAAAAGACUUUCUCACAGGCCGUUGCUGAGGAUGUAGUGCCAUGCGUAUACGCAUGACCUUUAGGUCUUGUUGAGCCUUUAGAUUGUUCUUUGUUUUCCCCAAAAUAUUGAGUAGUGUCCCAAUUAUAUUUUCCAAGAUUCUUCUCGGUAUGCAUCAGGUCAAUAUUGUGGCGAAUCAAAAUAUCCAAUCAAAUAUACUUGCUAAUCCCAAUCUCAUAUUUCGAAUGUCUUUCGCAAAUUCAGGUUGUUUUUUGUCGAAUGUUUUCCAAGCAGGUGUAUCAGCAGGGUGCCUCCAUUUACCAUCAUUGGUCCGCCCCUCUGCAGGCCAUCUCAUAUGUUUUGAUGUUUCCUCUGACAUGAAAAGCUUUUGAAGCGCUGACUUUAAAGGAAAAUGCCUUGUUUUGUAGGAAUUUGUGUUAGUUUGGCCGUUCCAUCAUUUGAAAAGACAGUAGAUUCUUUAUAUCGUGAUGUUCCACAUUUUUCAAAGUUGCGCAGCCCCUUUUUAUCUUUCCAAAACAACAUACAAUCCUUGGGAUACGCAUCAAUUUUUUUCGUAACUAAAGCCUAAGGCCUCAUUAAACUUCUUUGCUUCAGAAAAUGACUUGGGUAAGGUUUCACGAAUUGGAAACUCUUUUCUCAAUAGCUCAACUGGCAUAUCAUAUGAGGUAUCAGUCCAACCACCAAGCACUUUUAUGUCCAACAAAUGAGUUGUAUAAGAGAGAGUUGUGAAUGUCUUACAAUUGGGGUACAACUCACGUUGUGCAUCUUCAAGCAGCUUAAAAAAUUUCUUAGUCUCCUUAUCGGGCCCUAACCCCAUACUUUCAAGUCCUUCAUCGUCUCUAAUCCCACCAUCUUGCAUUGGAACUCCAAAUGCAUCAUGCACCAUACCAAUCAUAUCAUCUUGAAAAUAAGAGCUUUGAUUUGCAUCCGAUUCAUUUCUACUAGAUGAAGCUAAAGACUCUCCGUGAAUUGUCCAUCUUGUAUAGUUAGUAUUGAAUCCAUUUAUAAUUAAAUGUUCUUUCACACCACUUCU
Long non-coding RNA from Rhododendron vialii, 4501 nucleotides. RefSeq lists it as uncharacterized. Lineage: Eukaryota; Viridiplantae; Streptophyta; Magnoliopsida; Ericales; Ericaceae. The record is from RefSeq and is a predicted model, not a curated record. The transcript is spliced from 3 exons.